CACUUGAAUGAUGAAAUGAAUGAAAGUAACAAUAUGUUUGAAUAUAACAUCUCUUUUGAAUCAUGACUCAGGAAUGACUCAUUACAAUAAACAUAAGCUAUUUCAUUUUUACCUGCAAUAGAGAAGGCUUAUCAGGAUACAAGAAGAAUAGUGUCUUCUACAUCAAAUGACCUAAGACUAAGCUUAUUUAAGUCUUUCUGCAUAUUUUUCCUUCUUCUCCAUCAAGGAGCCUUCACCUGUCAUUUUUGCUUCUGCAAAUGUGCCUUGAAUCUAUCAGGCUGUCACCAUGCUCUGCCUAAUUUGUUGAUUCUAAUGGGCACUGGCCUGAGAAAUCACAUAACCGAGGUUGUUUAACAAUACAUGCAAAGCAAAAGUAAAUAUGAUCUAAAGGGUUUAAAGUAGAUGUAUAUUUUUGCCAUAGUAUGAGUGUAGGCUAAAUUUGGAGUUACUUUGUUUUGGUUAGUUUCCUUUUUGGAUAAAAAAGCUUCAAGAUAUGGACUUAUGAUAUCUAGUUUAGCUUCUCAGAGCAUUUAAACACAAAGAUCUUGUAUUUGCUGUGUUAUGAAUAGUUCAGAAAGUGUUCUGGAUAAGUAAGACACUGUGUUUGCAAAUAAGCAUAUGUGUAUACUUUUCUGUACAAAAAACUCGUGCACUCAUUUACUGAGAAAUCAUUUGAAUGCUUAUUAUGUCCUUUUGUAUGGUCUUUAUUUCCAUCAAAUAUGUUAAAACCAACAACAGGGAGUUCCCACUGUGACUCAAUGGUAACGAAUCUGACUUGUGUCCAUGAGGAUGUGUGUUCAAUCCCUGGCCUCACUCAGUGGGUUAAGGAUCUGGCAUUGCCAGGAGCUAAGGUGUAGGUCACAGGCAGGGCUCAGAUCUGGCGUUGCUCUUGCUGUGUCAUAGGCUGGCAGCUGUAGCUCCAAUUCGACCCCUAGCCUGGGAACUUCCAUAUGCCAUGGGGCAGCCCUAAAAAAAAAUAAAAAAUAAAACCAACAAGAGUAAGUGAGAUUGCUUUUUAAGAAGCUAACACUUCCGGAGCAGCUGAGUUAUUGUUUAGCCACUUAUUCUCUGUCAUGCUCUGGAAGUCUUCAUUUAUCUCAUCUGGGUGAGACAUUUACACUCCAAAAAUACCCUAUUCAUCUUAGGGCCAGACCCCACAUGACUGCAUUCUUAACACAGAGAUUGUGGUGUUUCAUUUGUGUUAUCUGUGGCAUGUUAACUUUCUCAAAGGUAACAAGCCUAUAGCUUAGGUUCAUUCUCUUUUUACAUGGAUGGUGGUUCCUUCUGUCAGAUAGCCCUGCCAGGAGAUGCCUACAACUUGGCUUUUUCCAGAACUGACAAUAACAGCAACAAAACAAACAAUUUCAGACAAUCAAUGCUAGUCGCUAUUGACGACAUUUAAGGAAUUUGCCACAAGCUACAAAGAAAGUGCAAAAUGUAUUUUGAGUAAUUUCAAUAAUACUGUACUGGUACUUUUGAAAGAAAGGGUACCUACAUAAUUGAAUAUCUAGGCUUGGGGAUAUGGACUUUAACAGUUUAUGUAUGUGGGGGUUUUUUUGUUUGUUUUUUUUUUUUGGUCUUUUUAGGGCUGUACCCUCAGCAUAUGGAGGUUCCCAGGCCAGGAGUCUAAUCAGAGCUACAGUUGCCGGCCUAUGCCACAGCCACAGAGAUGCAGAAUCUGAGCCACAUCUGCCACCUACACCACAGCUCAUGGCCACACCAGAUCCUUAACCCACUGAGCGAGGCCAGGGAUCAAACCCUCAUCCUCAUGGAUGCUAGUUGGGUUCAUUAACCACUGAGCCACAUUGGAAACUCCUGUAUGUGGUUUUUUAGCUGUAAAGUAUAUUUAGGUCUUUUUUUUUUUAAUUGUGAAAAUAAUAUAUGCUCAUUGUGAGAAAUAUACAAGAUAAAGAUGAAAAUUAUAGAAUAAUGUGGGAAAACAUAAAAAAGAAAAUAAAUCCAUAUUCCCACCACUAUAAAUGCUUUAGUAUAUCUCUUCUCUUUUCCCUUUAUUUCUGUUUUUUAUCUUUAUAUAUUUUUUAUAAUUUUAAAUGUGUCAUACUUUUUGAAAAAUGAGUAUCAUACUUUUUAUAUUUAAGCAUUUGUCAUGCAAUUAAAAAUCAUUUGAAACCAUGUGUUUUAAUGUUUGCAUAUAUUUUAUUUCCAUCAUAUAUGAAGCAUGCUUUAAUUAAUCAUCACCUAUACAUAUAUUUUUAUAUUCAUGUUUGUUUUAUACUUACAAGGAUACAUUAACUGUCCUUGUAGAUUAAUGUUUAUCUUCACCUCUAUUUUCUUAGAAAAGGGUUCCAAAUGUGCAAUUACUAGGUCAAAGGGUAUGAUCUCUUAAAACUUUUUCUGAAAUUGUAGUUCUUUCAAAUUAAAUCCCUAUGCAUUGAAUUUCAAGGAUAUUCUAAAUUAUGACCUUGACAACAGGGCUCGCAUUGGACAGUGGGGAGAGUCUGGACUUUUGGUCAGCCUGAUAUGAUUUGCAACACUGAUCUAGCUCACUGUGAAAGAGUCUUAUAGGAAUUAGAAAUAAUACAUGUGAAAUGCCCAACCCGCAGAGAUCAUUUUUUAGACACUUUCCCCUCCCACCCGUGUUACUGCUACCAGGGAUGAUGAAAAUGACCAGAGCAGUAAAUAAAAUAACUUAGUUGGAGGGAUAAGACACUUUGUUAAGACCUUAACAUAAUAUGUCUUUAAAUAACAUAAUAGUCUAUUGCAGUGCCUGAUUAAGUGCUAAAAUUGUAAACAAAGAGGCAUUCAGGAAUACACUAUAGCUGUAUCUGGAAGUAGAAGUUGGUAUUAGAUAAGAAAGUAAAAUGUAUUUUCCAGGUGAUAGUCAGGACUUGAAUACAUUCACGAAUAAAGGGAUGUUAGAAUUGAACAUGAAAUUGGGGCCAGAUUUUUGACCCUGAAGACAAGCAUGAGUUGACGCUUUAGUCUUUAGACAAGGAGGGAGUUACAGAUGAGUGAGUUGAAAGAUAAGAGAUGUAAGCAGAACUGUCAGAACAUUAAUCUGACUGUCAUUUCUUCCUUCAUUGCUUUUGGCUACAGCCCUAUCAUGUGAUUUUUUUUUUUUUUUUGGUUCUUUUUUUUUUUUUUUUUUUUUUUAGCUUCCCAAGUCCUUGGUUUAAUUUACCAAGAAAGAGAGAUACAGAAAUUAUGUUCCAAGAGAGAUCCUCAUGUGAGUGGAAGGAAGCUGCAGAUAUGGCUUCUAAGCCUGCUGACUUCAAAGCCAGUGUUUCUUCCUCCCCUUGCUGCAGAAUACAACUUUUCAUAGCUGCUCAGUCAAAUCUGGAAAUCCUAGAAUAGGACAUAUAUUUUUCAUAGACACUUAGUAAUGCCCCCAAAAGUUAUUCCUACCCUGACUAUAGUAUGUAAAGUUUGGCCUUUUUCUCUUUACAUGGAACCUAAAUUCUCAAUGGCUCAGUUUUCAUGCUUCUCUGUGGCAGAAUUUCUCCCAUUUUAAAAAUAAAUUUGAUGACUCUCUGAGGAUUUGAUCAAAUCCUCCUUCACUGAUGAGUUUCUGUACUGUGGGCAUAUAACCUCAAGUUACAAUUUAAUUACAAGUUUCUGAAAAAUUUAUAUUUUGAUAUUCAAAGUCCUUGUGUAUAAGUUGCAAAUAAAUAAAACCUGUAUUACAACUAUGCAAAAGUAAAAUGCUUGUAUACUACUAUGGCCAAUAAUAUUGAUGGCAAACAAUAACAGAACAAAUAACAUUAAUAGCAUUAUAUGAUUAUUUAAAGAAAAUCCAUAUUAGAUCACUACGCAUUUUAUAGGUGCUUAUUAAGGUAUUUUAACGUACUAAUUAGGGUCAAAUCCAGCUGUUUUUUCCCCUGCGUGUACCUUUGAGCUCCAUCCAGUCCAUUUCAAAUGUUAAAGAAAUUCAAAUGAAUUAUCAUUUUAGAUAAUAGCCUUUUAGAAAAUAGAGUUUAUGGUUAGCAACAGAUAAACUCUGGCUUUAUAACACAGACUUAAAUUCUGUCACCCAGUGUUUCACCUUCUGAUCUUCUUAUCACCAAAGAAGAUCUCGUUUCAUAACCUGUAUUUGUACCAAAAUCUAUUCUUUUAUACGUUUGCAUAACCGAGCCACCACGUUUUAGCCAGGCAGGAACUGACAUUAUAAAUAAUGCUUUUUUUGUAACCUGAUUGUCAUUUCCCUGCAUAUAAACUGAAAUACGUGAAGACUCACACUCUACCUGUUAAGUCAAUUUGGGGAAAACAAAUCAAUUAGGAGGAGCUUUCCUGUUUAUUGAGAUUAAACCUCUUAUAUCUGUUAACAUAUUCAAUAGUGCUUCCAAAAAAAAUCCUUGAAAAAUAAUGAUAUAUUUCCAACUCGGGCAAGGGUCAAACUUCAAAGUAAUUGCUCUUCAUGCCUAUGCCUAUAAUUUUUAUAUAAAAAAUGUAGGGCCUCCCCAGUACAAGAUUAAGAAAAGGAACAAAUAUGCUUCUUUUAAAUUAAUUAGCAGAAAACACACAUAGAAUUCUAUCAAUUGAUCUAAAUAAAGACGACACCUCUGAAAACCUCAUGAGAGGUUGAGAACAGCUAAAUUUUGACUUGUAGUUGCUUCCUUCUGACAGGAGACCUGUAGUCAGCAUGGAGUCUCCAUGUCUCAGUAACCUGCUUUCAUGAUUCUGAUUUCACGGUGUUCAGAGUUCAAUUAUAUCUUAUAAUGUGCAAUUUUUAAAAAAUCAUCUACUCACCCAUUGCACCCGUAUUUCUUAUGCACUGAAAUAUGAAAAAUUCAAAGUAGAGAGUGGCAAAUCUCUCAGUAUUUUCCAACAGUAGAAUAAUCUAUAAAUCUCUGAGGCUCAACCGCUUUCCUAUUUCCGCAAAGCACUAGCUAAGUAUAUAAGUACAUAGCAUAGGCAGUUUCCUUAGAAUAGAAGACAAUGAAAAUGUUAUUUGCAUUUUCUUGCGGAAGUGAUCUGGACAUCUACCUAGUCAAAGCAUCAUUUAGCACAAAAGACUUAGUCACCAGUGCCCCUAUCCAUAGUUUCAAAAUCCAGGCAGUAUAAUGGAAAUUUAUGCAAGGCUCUUUAAUCCCGGGCUCAAAAUGAAUCUGUGCUCGUCCGUAAGUGAAUUAAGCACAGAAAUUAGUUUACCCCUCUCUAUGUUCUAUCUUCUUUCCUCGUGCUUUGCUUGUCUUGGUUCAUUUUUUUUUCCUCCAUGGUCCGUACAUUAUUUCAAAUCCUAGAAAAAAAAGAGAGGGUUUGGGACCCAAACAUAGCCAAUAAUCAAGGCAGAGUGCCCAGAAUUAUAGGACUAUCAUAAUUUAGUAUUUGGUUCCUCUCUGGAAAUGCAGUUCAGCAUCUGCACGAUUGCAGCUCCACAGACACCCUUGAAAAAGCAUUAACCUCUCAAAACAACAUGCUAGAAAAGCACCACGCACACUUGGUAAUCUAAAACACCAGCCCAUAUCCUGCAAGUGCACU
Molecule: long non-coding RNA, 5439 nt
Filed under: Sus scrofa (pig)
Lineage: Eukaryota; Metazoa; Chordata; Mammalia; Artiodactyla; Suidae
Description: lncRNA (ENSSSCG00000061463.1)
Source: RNAcentral